Molecule: ribosomal RNA, 253 nt
Filed under: uncultured bacterium
Lineage: Bacteria
Description: partial 16S ribosomal RNA
Rfam family: Bacterial small subunit ribosomal RNA
Source: RNAcentral
UACGUAGGGUGCGAGCGUUGUCCGGAAUUAUUGGGCGUAAAGAGCUCGUAGGCGGUCUGUCGCGUCGGAUGUGAAAACCCAGGGCUUAACCCUGGGCCUGCAUUCGAUACGGGCAGACUAGAGUUCGGUAGGGGAGACUGGAAUUCCUGGUGUAGCGGUGAAAUGCGCAGAUAUCAGGAGGAACACCGGUGGCGAAGGCGGGUCUCUAGGCCGACACUGACGCUGAGGAGCGAAAGCGUGGGAAGCGAACAGG